This 896-nucleotide ribosomal RNA is filed under the name Scytalidium aurantiacum. RNAcentral's name for it is "LSU rRNA". It matches the Rfam family "Eukaryotic large subunit ribosomal RNA", at positions 58 to 910 of the family's 3401-position model. Lineage: Eukaryota; Fungi; Ascomycota; Leotiomycetes. The record is from RNAcentral.
AAAGAAACCAACCGGGAUUGCCUCAGUAACGGCGAGUGAAGCGGCAACAGCUCAAAUUUGAAAUCUGGCUCCUUCGGGGUCCGAGUUGUAAUUUGUAGAAGAUGCUUUGGGUGCGGCCCUGGUCUAAGUUCCUUGGAACAGGACGUCAUAGAGGGUGAGAAUCCCGUACGUGGCUGGUGGCCUGCGCCCGUGUAAAGCUCUUUCGACGAGUCGAGUUGUUUGGGAAUGCAGCUCUAAAUGGGUGGUAAAUUUCAUCUAAAGCUAAAUAUUGGCCAGAGACCGAUAGCGCACAAGUAGAGUGAUCGAAAGAUGAAAAGCACUUUGGAAAGAGAGUUAAACAGUACGUGAAAUUGUUGAAAGGGAAGCGCUUGCAACCAGACUUGCGCGUCGUCGAUCAUCUGGUGUUCUCACCGGUGCGCUCGGCGACGUUCAGGCCAGCAUCAGUUCUGGUGGUUGGAUAAAGGCCCUGGGAAUGUGGCUCUCUUCGGGGAGUGUUAUAGCCCAGGGUGCAAUGCAGCCUACCAGGACUGAGGACCGCGCUUCGGCUAGGAUGCUGGCGUAAUGGUUGUAAGCGACCCGUCUUGAAACACGGACCAAGGAGUCUAACAUCUAUGCGAGUGUUUGGGUGUCAAACCCAUGCGCGUAAUGAAAGUGAACGGAGGUGAGAGCCCUGAAGGGUGCAUCAUCGACCGAUCCUGAUGUCUUCGGAUGGAUUUGAGUAAGAGCAUAGCUGUUGGGACCCGAAAGGUGCGUUAUUAUUUCCAUUGCUCUUGUUUAGUUGCGAACUAUGCUAACUGAUUUUCUACAGAUGGUGAACUAUACUUGAAUAGGGUGAAGCCAGAGGAAACUCUGGUGGAGGCUCGCAGCGGUUCUGACGUGCAAAUCGAUCGUCAAAU